UGGCAUCUAGUGUGUACAUAUGAAUGACAAACAUACAAUAUUUUGUAAUAAAAAUAUGUCAAUGAACCCAGCAAGCAGAAACAACUGGAUCGGGCUCGACUGCUUUGGCUGGUUGCAUACAGUCGCACAAAACCAAUAUACCCUUGUUACUCAUUUUCGAUAUGACAGGACAUAAAAAGAAUGCCAAUAUGCCACAGACCUUCAAGUCAUCAAAAAGCAUCUGAGUCCAAAAAGGACAGCUGAGUAGCUAUAUAUUUCAAAUACAGCCAAAUACAAACAUACGUAGUAAAUACAUAGAACACAAAGAAAAUAUAA
Non-coding RNA from Drosophila virilis, 315 nucleotides. Lineage: Eukaryota; Metazoa; Arthropoda; Insecta; Diptera; Drosophilidae. The record is from RefSeq and is a predicted model, not a curated record.